Molecule: transfer RNA, 67 nt
Filed under: Marmota monax (woodchuck)
Lineage: Eukaryota; Metazoa; Chordata; Mammalia; Rodentia; Sciuridae
Description: tRNA.Undet
Source: RNAcentral
GGUUGUGGCUCAGUGGUAGAGUGCUCACCUAUCACCCGUAAGGCACUGAGUUCAAUCCUCAGCACUA